Cinara cedri is the source of this 341-nucleotide non-coding RNA. NCBI's taxonomy places the organism in Eukaryota, Metazoa, Arthropoda, Insecta, Hemiptera, Aphididae. The record is from the annotation of a GenBank genome assembly.
CCUGACCCUUACUAUCUCUUCUUAAAAUCGUACUUGGACAACCGCACAUUCAAGGUUCGCCACAACCUUCAACAUUCAAAACAAUUCCCCAUUGCUGCUGGGGUCCCGCAAGGCAGUGACAUAGCACCCUUUCUAUACAUAAUCUACAGCUGCUGAUCAUAUCACUGCAAGCCUUCAACUACAAUUACACAUUGAUACUCCUUCUCAAUGGUUCACUAAAUGGAAAAUUAAAAUCAACUAAUCAAAGUCUUCCUUCAUCACAUUUGCACUCAGGCCCCAUAACUGCCCUCCUAUAUCAAUAAAUAACACCAUCAUUCCUCACUCAAAUGAAGUGAAAUACC